Long non-coding RNA from Sinocyclocheilus rhinocerous, 545 nucleotides. RefSeq lists it as uncharacterized. The record is from RefSeq and is a predicted model, not a curated record. The transcript has 5 exons. NCBI's taxonomy places the organism in Eukaryota, Metazoa, Chordata, Actinopteri, Cypriniformes, Cyprinidae.
GCUUCGCGCCGUUUCUUCCUGCUCCCUUCACUUCAGGUUAACGGUACGCACGCGCUGAUAGGAUGCGUUUCCUCUGAGAGUGACCGAAAUCGACGGUUUAGAGCAGUUUCUUCGCUCCAUUCACCGCAGUUCGAGGCAUUGACAAGAUCUGUGUCCGGUAUUUUUGAGAGUCUCCCCAAAAGGCUAACGAUAUGACUGAGCAUUGGACUACCACAGAGGUUUGCCAGUGGCUUGAUGAAGUGUCACUGGGACACGCGAAACCAGCAUUCAUCGAAUGAAGUAGAUGGUCCAACGCUAUUAAAAAUGACUGAAAGAAUGAGUGAACGUCUCUUCCCAAAAAUCAAAGAACAGAUACAAUUUAUGUCUGCAUUGGAAGACCUGAAAUCCCACCGUGACCUCACUGAACAUGUAAUAUCACAGACCACUCCAGUGGUUCUGCACUCCAAUACUGAAGUACGGUAUCCUACAUUUCUAAUGAGUGCCCUUGAAAAGCAGGACCCGCAGCUGAAGUCUCCUACUAAGAAUAAAUUCAAAAAUGCAUUAAC